UACGACUUGGAAUCAAGGUUCCCUUGCUUGGAGGAUCUGAGCCUUGUUGGCUGCCACUACUACACCUUGCGAGAAUUACAAGUCAAGAGCUCUUCACUCCAACGCAUAAGCAUUGUGGGCGCUGCAUCGGAACUCAAGUUUGAAGUUCCAAAUCUUGCUGUAUUUAGCUAUUCAGGAAGUGACAUACGUACAACAUACAGUCCAUUUCUAUCAAAGCAAGGGAUGAAUGGGAGUCUCAUAUAUCGAUUGAGCGCCAUCACAAUGAGACCUCCUCAUGGUACCGAGAUUUGCACAAGCUGUUGACUCAGCUGAGUCUAUCAAGAAUCAAUCUCACUAUAAAAAUAGUGGGGUCACGGCCUUGUACAAAUAGAGGCCUGAAUGAUAUUCGUGCGGUAGCCAAUCCAGUAGCAGUGGAGAAUAUGAGGGUUGAGACAGAAUACGAUGUAGGUCGUAUUAUGCGUUGUCUAUUUCGUAUGUGUCGCCCAAAGUUGGUAACUCUUUGCUGGCUUGAUUGUGAAUGUAGGAUGUCAAACAAUCACUCCCUUAGAACUCUCUGUGAGAAACUGAUGGGUCCAACAAAGCGUCGGAAACUGUUUGAGCUCAAGGAAGGGAAAAUGGAAGUAUACGAGGAGGAUGUAGCAAAAUGGCGGCCUCUUCUACUGCAAGAUGCAUUAACAACUCCUCCAAUGGGACGUAAAGUUCGUUUCCACUUGAAGUGGUGAUCACUGAUCGUAAAUGAGUUCCUCUGUGCUUUGAACUAUUUUGGUAUGUAUAUGUAUUCCUGAAUCUACAGACUUGUAGUGUGGUUUCAAGUAUUUUGUUAUCCUAUAUAUAUAUUUGAAGUAUUUUGUUAUAUGUAGCUGAAUCUACAGACUUGUACGUACUAUUUUGUUAUCCUAUAUGUAUAUAUUCAUAUUCAUGUUUGUUGUUUCAAUUAUGUCUUUACUGAGUGCGCAACGAGAAAUUUUUUUAAAAAAUUGUUGUUUUUGGUUUAUGCUUUGAAUUUUGUGGGUGAAAUUGUGUGAAAACGAUAAAAUAUCGAGGAAUUUGUUUUCGGAUAAAUGCCGCAAGAGGGGAUGCAACUGUGAAUAAUUGUAUACUUUUAUACUCCGUGUAAGAGCAUUUUAUUGUGAAGAUAAAAAAUCUUUAUUUAUAAAGGUACAAAUUAUGGUUCAGAGUUUGCAUGGUCCUUAGACUCAUAACUCUAUAGUACUCCCUCCCUCCCAAUAAAUAUGGCCACUUUGUUUUCGGCACGGAAAUUAAGAAACUCAUUGUUAUGUUUUAAUUGAGUGUGUUAAGGAGUUAAUUAAGAGAUUAGGGGAUGACUGUUGGCUGCCAAUCACCUUCUUCUCCGGCGACUUCCUUCUCCGGCGACCUCCUUCUCCGGCAAAGGCGUAAUCUCCGGCGACCUCCUUCCCUCUGUCCCCCGACGACCGCAGCCGCUACCUCGCCGCCCUCUAUCCUCGCCAGAACCCUAGAUCCCCAAAUCGCGACCUCCGUCGACCCGCCUCUUUCUCCCUCCGAAUCUCUCCCCCGACUAGACAGCUAACAUCGGCAGUGAAGGAGCCGCCGCCUGAACCCGAACGGCGACAACAACGACCUCCCAAAAUCAGACACCCAAAUCAAAAUCAGACACCCAAAAUCAUACACCCAAAUCGAAAAUAAAAAUCAGACACCCAAAAUCGCAAACAAAAAUCUUGAAAAUCAGACACCCAAAAUCGUUCUCCGGUCGCCCCUCUAGGCGAGGGAGCCGCCACCGGAGCCCUAGGCGAGGGAGGGAGGAGCCGUCGUCGUCGAUGGGGGGAGAGAGAGGGUGGAGUUUUGGAAGGUCUGGGGGUUGCGGGGUCGGCUUCGGGAGCUCAGGUAUAGGCGUUGCAGUUUUCCAUGGCGGAGAAGGGUGUGGGGGUGGAGGCGCCGCCGUCAGCGGUGGUGGGAGGUGGUGGACGAGGAGGAACAGAGUAUGGUGAAAGAAGAGAGAGAGAGAGAGAGAGAGACGGAGACAGAGAGAAAGCGAUGGGGGUGGCGAGAGGGAGAGACCAGAGGCCGGCGGGAGGGGGGGUGGUCAGGUGGCGGGGUGGGGGGGGCUGAAUGUGAAAUGUGUGGUGGGGUGAAUUUAUUUAAUUAGGGUUUAAGUUUAGUUAGCAUUUUAAUUGAAUUAAUUAAGUAGAUUUAAUUAAAGUAAAUAUUUCCAUUUUAAGGAAGUGGCCACUUUUAGUGGGACAAACCAAAGUGGAAAGGUGGCCACAUUUAUUGGGACGGAGGGAGUAUUUCUAUUGACUACUUUUGGGUGGAAUAAUUGCAUAUAUACUCUCUCGUUCAUGAAAGAAAUUCUUAGAGAGUGAUGAAAAAGUGUUAUAAUUAAUAUUGAAAGUUGUGAAAAAGUGAAAAGUAAGUAAAUAAAAUUUGAUUUUUUUUAAAUCGUAAUGUAUAGCGUGUAAAACACGCGCCUAACAUUAGCGCCUAUCGGGGAACACCCGAUCUAUCGGGACCCCAUCGAGUCAAGCUUCGUUGCAGUGGGCGACCCGAUAGGCGGGUGACUCAAGUCCCCCUAUCGGAUCACUACUGCGGAUGCUCUUAUACUACUAUCUGUGGAGUGUUGUAUCUUUGCAACUUCUUCAUGGUACCGAUGUUUGCAGAGGUUGUUGACUCAGCUGAGUCCCUCAAGAAUCAAUCUCACUAUCAAUAUGGUUGAGUACUUAGGGCCUCGUACAGAGAGGAAUGGCGUGUAUAAUGUUCAUGUAAGAGGCGAACCUAUAGCAGUGGAGAAUAUGAGGCUUGAGGCAGAAUAUGUUGCAGGUUGUCUAUGUUGUAUAUGUCUCCCCAAGUUGUUAAGUCAUUACUGGCUUGAUUGCGAAUGGUGGAGGUCAGACGGUCACUCCCUUAAAAUUCUCUGUGAGAAACUGACAGGUUCGAAGAUGGAUCAGAAUAUGUUUGGGAAAAUGGAAGUAUACGAGGAGGAUGUAGCAGAAUGGCGGCCUCUUCUACUGCAAGAUGCACUAACAACUCCUCCAACGGGAUGUAAAGUUCAUUUCCACUUGAAGUGGUGUUGACUGAUCAUACAGACCUAUAGUCUGUUUUUUGUUUGAAGAAAAAAGAAAAAAAUUGUAGGAGUAAAAAAAAAAAUUAAAAAUGGAAGUAGCCGUUGAGUAGAAGAAAAAAAAAUUAUACUAAUAAAAAGGCUAAAAUAGGAGUUGAGCUCCGAAGCUUUCAAAUUUAAAAAAUUAUUUUUUAAUAGAUGCGUGUAAUACAAGCGUCAUACGUAAUGAUCAUUGAGCUUGACUCGUUCGAACGAGUCAUAGCUCGAGUCGGGGAGGCAGCAUUGAGCGACUUAUCACAUUGGUUGACUCGAGCAAUCACAUCGAGUUAGCCGUUGUGUGUGCUCUUACUAGUUAUUAAUGUUUUUCAGCUCUUGCUUUUCUUUUUGUAACUUUUUAGUCUUAUAGUUAUGAACUUUGAUGCUCGGUAGGGGUGAGCAGAAACCGAACCGACACUGAAAACCGAAUCGAACCGGAUUGAUGCGGUUCGGUUCCAAUUCUAUUGGUUCUAUUUUCGGUUCGGUUUUGAAAACUAAAAACCGAAAAUUUUCGAUUUGGUGUCGGUUUCGAUUUUUUGGUUCGGUUUUAAACCGAACCGAACCGAUACAUAUAAUAUUUAAAUAUAUAUAUAUAUAUAUAUUUAUUUAUUUUGUAAGUAAAACCCUAAUUUACACUUCACAAUUUCAAUUUCUCCUCCCAACAGCUGAACUUGCCGCUCUGCCUCUCUCUUCUGCAGUUCUGCUCUUCACGCCAUCUCUGCGACUCUGCCCUCCGACUCCGGCAGUCCGGCGGUCGUCGGCGCCCGCAGCCGUCCGCAUCAGUCGUCCCCCGCCCAGGCGCGCUCACUCGUCCCCUGCCCAGGCGAGUCCGACAGCCCCUGCCCAGGCGCGACUACCCGGCGCCCGCUGCCGUCCUCGUCUGCUGCAGCCUGCAGCCUGCCGUCCGCCACUCCACGACGUCGCCAACAGCCCAGACUCCCCUUUCGGCGCGGUCGCGCGGCCUACCCUCACCGAAAUUUGUGUAUUUUACAAUUUUUAAAUGAUAUUUUCGAAAAAAAAAAUUGCAUUGUUCGAUUCGGUGCACCGAACCGAAACCGAUGGUUUUAUUGGUUCGGUUUUGGUUCGGUUCCGGACCCCCAAUUGGUGCGGUUCGGUUUCAAUUUUAAUCAUCGGUUCGGUUUUCGAUUUUAGAUUUUUGGUUCGGUUUUGAACCGAACCGAACCGGUGCUCACCCCUAAUGCUCGGUUGUUCAUAAACGAAUAGUUUGAUGGUAAUUUUUUGUGCACGGGACUACGGAAGUAAGGACUUCAAUUUAUUUAUUUAUUUUUGAGACCAUAAGGAUUUCAAUUUUCUUUACUGUAUUGUUUAAUUGUUUUCCUUUUCAAACCAAUCGAACACACAUAGCUAGGGGUGAGCAGUGGGUCGGAUCCGGACUGAUCUGUUGGGUUUGAUAGAUUGAAAUUUUUAAAAUUUUAGACCAAUAUAUUCAGAUCAAAUUCUGAGAGUGAACCGACCCAAGACCAAACUAAACCCGAGCAACGAGUUCGAUUCGGUUCGGCUCCGACUCAUGGCUCAAUGCAUAUACAUGAUUUUGAUCUUAUAGAUUUAUUUCUCACAUGUAUAUUAAGAUAUCAAUCAAUCAAUCAGCGAUAAACAUAUUUAUAUAUAAAAAAAAUUACGCAACAUGAUAGGAAAAAAGAACAAAUAUCACCAAACCAUUUUAUUACAAAAUUUUCCACGUACGUCGUAAUAUCAUUUUCUCUAAUCUUAACAAUGUAUGUAUUCCGGGGGCUGAAGCCCUCCCAUUUUGUAUAUAUAUAUAUUUUAUUUUAUAGGGGUGGACUACCGUGNNNNNNNNNNNNNNNNNNNNNNNNNNNNNNNNNNNNNNNNAACUAUCCAUAUUAAUUAUUUGAAAUUGUACAUUGAUUUGUUAUAUUUAUGCUAUUUUUAUUCUAUUUUUUCUUAUUUAAUUUUUAAUGUUGAAUUUGAGUCCGAGAAUGUUAAAAGUAAAAAUACUAAUUAUUAACAAUGAAAGUUAGUUUAUUUGUUUAAAAAAUGAAUUAUAUAUAUUUUUAAAAUAAUGCAUAAAAGUAUGUUUAUGUAUACUUUCAAUCUACUUAAUGUUGAAUUAAUUGAAUUGUAAACAAUCAUCUAUUAUAUUAAGUGAUUGUUAAAAAAGGCAUGAAAAUUAAGUGUACGAAAUGCUUAAAAAUUUUUGCUUCGCGGGCUCCCGCACCCAAACCCUCAUGUAAAUGUCUUCAUACGUCAUAGAUCAAUAAAUUCAUCCCCCUAACCUCAAUUCCUAGAUCCGCCUCUAUGUACAAUAUCCGACUCAAAGACAGAUUCAGUUCAAAAAUUUUAAAAUUUUUAAAAUAUUGAGCUUAGGAGUACCAAUUUUCGGAUUACAAUGUAGACAUUUGAAUUUAGAUUUUAUUAAUAUUAUUACAAUUUACAAAUAUUAAAUAUAUAUAUCAAAUAAUUAGUAAUUUAUAAAUAUAUGGGUCGAUCCGCGUUCGAUGGAUUCGAUCAGAUUCAAACCCAGAUCGACCCGAAAAAAUUUAGUCCUAUAAAAUUAACCCGGAUCGAACAGUAUAUAUAUACUGAGUCGGUCCGGUUCGGAUCGAAUCCAUCCGUCCGGGUGGAUUCGGGCGGUUCAAUUUGGGUUUGCUCACCCCUACACACAGCGCGACACACACAUUUCGCUUCAGACGGCAGAAACCAAUUGAACACACAGCCCGUCUGGCCGUCCCCGCGGUCCGUACCCUCUGCCGGCGGCCUCCUCAUUGGCGACUCGGCGCCUCCCUCCGCCCUUAAGAAGUAGCAGCCUAGCAGGCCCAGUUGCGGCCCGCCGCCAUCCCCCUUUUCCGCCCGCCUCUUCCCGUCGGCCGUCGACCAAGCAGCCUGAAUCCGGCCGGCCACAACAGGUAAAUAAGCAUUAGCCCUAUGUUCCGAAGCUCUAAUUUCUAACACUUGACUUGAUUUAUUUUGUUAAUCAGCACUUGAUUAGUUAUUUUUGGGAGGAAAUUUUAGAGCUAAUUAAAUUAGUUGAUUAAUAUUGGAUUACAAAAGAAAUUGUGAAUGACUUAAUGUUUUGUCGGUUUUGUUGAAAGAAACUGUUGUGAAUCUUUUUACGGUUGAAAUAAAUUGUUUGCCAUUAUUGCUAAUUUUGUGAAUUGUAAUGGUGCGAAAUGUUUCUGUUAACUGUUGUGAAUCUGCUGCUGUUGACAGUUGGCAAAUGUUGUUGUUGUGAGUGAAUCUGUGCAAAUUUUGUGUAGAUGCUGUUGUGAAUCCCUUGAAGGAUUUGCUUCUUAGCACCAUUGACUGAGUGAUUUUCUUCAUAAUUAUUCUCCUAAUUGAAUAGGAUGGUCUUUUUCUGCUCAUACAUGUUUGAAAGAUGCUCUUCAUCUCUGUUUAAUUGAUUCAGAUUUAUCUCUUGAAAAUUAGACUGAUUAUUUUCAUAUCAAAGAAACAAUUGAACCAAUUGGAAUGAAUUCUUACUUUUUGGGACUGUUUGCUCUGUCUUAGUGUUUGACGAUGGUAGAUUUAUUCCUUGUAUUUGUGCUUGAUUUUGGUUAUGUUGCUAUUGCUUUGUAUUACUUAGUUAAGAUCAAUACUUGCAGUUGUCUCUUGAAUUUGAUAUGGAAAAGUGCAAACGAGUCGAAACUCCAUUACCGGAAGCCAUAAUUCACCUAAUACAGUCUUUCUUGAGUGAAGAAGAAGCUGCUCGAACCACUCUUGUCUCCAAAUCAUGGUACAACGCCUGGCUAACUCGUCCUGUGCUCGUGCUCAGAAAUCUCCAUUGGAGAUCAUCGGCGGCCGUGUUCUGGAGAUUUACAGUGAAGACCAUGCGAAGGUAUCAAGACUCCAACUUGAAGAUCGAGAGUUUGAGGUUAAAAAUACAAGGAUGUAGAAGGAGCUUUGAACCUUUGCCCACAAAUUGAUUGUGGAUGCCAUGAAACUUGGAGCUACUGAUCUCAAAAUCGAAUUCUUCACAUUUGUUCUGCCGCCAGAGGUGCUCCGAUCUGAAUCCCUCCUCCGAUUAUCUGUAAGUGGGUGUGAAAUUGAUGGAAACGUCAACUGCUCGAUGCUCAAAUCACUAAGCUUGGACAGUGUGCUUUUGAAAAGUGAUGAUAUGCUUCGAAUCAUAACUUCCUGCUGCAAUUCCAUCGAGGAGCUGUCACUUUCAAAUUUUUAUAUUUCUAAUAAGAGAAUACUAUUGAGUGGGACGAAUCUGCACGAGCUUCAUAAGCUUAAGCGUUUGUAUCUUGAGAUGGUGGAUGUUGAUAAGUCCUUCUUCGACAACUUGGAAUCUCGGUUCCCUUGCUUGGAGGAUAUGAGCCUUGUUAGCUGCCAUGGCUACAGAGAAAUAUGGGUUGCGAGCUCUUCACUCCAACGCAUAAACAUUGAGCAGCCGGUCAAUGUAUUGAUAGGCAAGUUUAAAGUUCCUAUUCUUGCUGUCUUUAGCUAUUCAGGCGUGGGCAUACCGUCCCUUUCUAUCGAUGCAAGGGAUGAAUGGGAGUCUCAUAUAUCUAUUGAGCGCCGUCAGUUUGAGAACUCUUCAUGGUACAGAUAUUUGCUGAAGUUGUUGACUCAGCUGAGUCCAUCAAGAAUCAAUCUCACUAUAAAUAUGGCUGAGUCACGGCCUUGUACAAAGAGGAUUGCUGGCGUGUAUAAUGUUCAUGUAGUAGGCGAACCUGUAGCAGUGGAGAAUAUGAAGCUUGAGGCAAAAUAUGACGCAGGUUGUAUUCUGCGUUGUCUGUUUUGCAUAUGUCGCCCGAAGUUGGUAACUCAUUGCUGGCUUGAUCGCGAAUGUGGGAAGAAGUCAGACGAUCACUCCCUUGAAAGUCUAUGUGAGAAACUGAUGGGUCCGAAGAGGGAUCGGAAUAUGUUUGAGCGGUUUGAUCUCAAGGAAGGACAGAUGGAAGUAUACGAGGAGGAUGAAGCAGAAUGGCGGCCUCUUCUACUGCAAGAUGCAAUAAGAGCUCCACCAAUGGGACGUAAGGUUCGUUUCUACUUGAAAUGGUGAUGAAAUGACUGAUCAUUAAUGAGUUCCUCUGUGCUUUCAACUAUUUUGGUCUAUAUAUGUAUUCUUGAAUCUACAGACUUGUAGUCUGUUCUUUGUUUCAUGUACUCCCUUCGUCCGUGAUAUCGUUUCCACAUUUGCCAUUUUGGUCCGUCCGCGAUAUCGUUUCAACUUCCAUUUAUAGAAGUAGGGUCCACAAACUUCCACUCACAAUAAUAGUGGGACCCAAACUCUACUCACUACAUAUCCACUACUAUCCACCCAUUUUCUUAAAACUCGCGCCUUCCACAAUGUGGAAACGAUAUCGCGGCCGGAGGAAGUAUUUUAUUUCAAGAGGGAACGCAACUGUUAUAAAUUGAAGAGAAGAGGAGAGGAAGAAUGUUAUAAACAUAGAGUGAUUGUAAAAGCAUUUUAUUGUGAAAAUUAAAAGUUUGUAUUUAUAUAGGUAAAAAUUAUGAUUUAGAGUUUAUAUGGUUAUCACUGUAUAAAGAUAUAUGUAGAUAUUUUAUAUGGACUAUUUUUAGGGGGAGCAAUGAUACUUUUUUCUCUACAACGAGGUUUUGUUAAUUCAUUGAAUUUUCCAAGCAAGUUUACACCUACUCAAGUAUUAAAUAAAAAAAAUGUUUCUUCCCCUUCCACAAUCUAUUAUCAAAUUCAAAUGUUUUAUGAGAUUUGUGAUUGAAAUUGAAUUUUAAGUAGUUUUUUGUAAAUAAGAAGUAUUUAUAAGAUAAAGAAAAAAUAAUGUUUUCUAUGUUUCACGAAUUUUGAUGCAAUUUCCUUUUUCGAUCGUCCCACGAAUCUUGAAGCAUUUUUAAAUAUGGUAAGAAUUAGCCAAAAAAUAAGGGUUAUUAAUUACACUUUUAUACUUUACCAUUUUUCUACUUUAUUACCUGCACAGUUAAAACACUAAUCUUUAACUUCUUAAUUCUUGUGCCCAAACCUAAUGAUAUGUUAAAUAAAAUGAAGAAAAAAAAAUAAUACUAAUACAUAUCGUUUGCCAACAAAAGUGGCUAUAUUAAAAAAAAAAGAUAAAGAAAAAAUUAAUUAUUAAAGUCCAAAAUAAAGUGACCAGUUAAAUAAAAUAAAUAAAAAAUACUAACAAUUACUACUACAUAUCAAUUGCUGAAGACGGCACCAACUCAAUUAAUGAUGUAUCGAUAGGGUACCUCUAAAUUAUAUAUAGCUCUAGUUUUCCUAUUUCUCUUGCAACGCCUCUUUCUCUUCUACUAGGGCACUACCCUCUAUUUUCCUCUCUACAAAUAUAGCUGUUGCAACUUUGCAAGGAUGUUAUGAAGAUUCUGAUGCUUGAUUAAUAAGAGGAAAUCUAUAGAUUGAACGCUUGGUUGGAUUCGGAUAAUUAUUCUGUAUUCUCGAAAAGGUCAGUUAUUUGACCCCAAAUAUUUAUUUUGUUUAUUUAUGCAUUCUACUUGGAAGUUGGAAUCACCUUAAAGGAUUUGCUUCUUAGAACCAUUGACUGAUUGAGUUUCUUCACACAUAUAUAUAUAGAUAUAAAUUUUGUAAUUGAAUACCGUGGUUUUUUUCUCCUCGUACAUGUUUGAAAGUUGAUAAAUUUAUUUAUUGAAUUUGUGGUUGAUUUUGGUUAUGUUGCUCCUGCUUUGUAUUUCUUAGUUAAGAUCGACACUUGCAGUAGUUGUGUCUUGAAAUGGAAAAGCACAAACGAAUCGAAACCCAAUUGUGGGAAGCUAUGAUUCAGCUGAUACAGUCUUUCUUGAGUGAAGAAGAAGCUGCUCGAACCUCUCUUAUCUCCAAAUCAUGGUACAACGCUUGGCUAACUCAUCCGGUGCUCGUGCUCAGAAAUCUCGGUCGGAGAUCAUCGGCGACUAUGCGAAG
Molecule: long non-coding RNA, 9908 nt
Filed under: Salvia miltiorrhiza (redroot sage)
Lineage: Eukaryota; Viridiplantae; Streptophyta; Magnoliopsida; Lamiales; Lamiaceae
Description: long non-coding RNA (SMIL_LNC006551)
Source: RNAcentral